This 2369-nucleotide ribosomal RNA is filed under the name Klebsiella michiganensis. RNAcentral describes it as "partial 23S ribosomal RNA". It matches the Rfam family "Bacterial large subunit ribosomal RNA", at positions 591 to 2925 of the family's 2925-position model. The record is from RNAcentral. Lineage: Bacteria; Pseudomonadati; Pseudomonadota; Gammaproteobacteria; Enterobacterales; Enterobacteriaceae.
GGGUGACUGCGUACCUUUUGUAUAAUGGGUCAGCGACUUAUAUUCUGUAGCAAGGUUAACCGUAUAGGGGAGCCGCAGGGAAACCGAGUCUUAACUGGGCGUUAAGUUGCAGGGUAUAGACCCGAAACCCGGUGAUCUAGCCAUGGGCAGGUUGAAGGUUGGGUAACACUAACUGGAGGACCGAACCGACUAAUGUUGAAAAAUUAGCGGAUGACUUGUGGCUGGGGGUGAAAGGCCAAUCAAACCGGGAGAUAGCUGGUUCUCCCCGAAAGCUAUUUAGGUAGCGCCUCGUGAACUCAUCUUCGGGGGUAGAGCACUGUUUCGGCUAGGGGGUCAUCCCGACUUACCAACCCGAUGCAAACUACGAAUACCGAAGAAUGUUAUCACGGGAGACACACGGCGGGUGCUAACGUCCGUCGUGAAGAGGGAAACAACCCAGACCGCCAGCUAAGGUCCCAAAGUCAUGGUUAAGUGGGAAACGAUGUGGGAAGGCCCAGACAGCCAGGAUGUUGGCUUAGAAGCAGCCAUCAUUUAAAGAAAGCGUAAUAGCUCACUGGUCGAGUCGGCCUGCGCGGAAGAUGUAACGGGGCUAAACCAUGCACCGAAGCUGCGGCAGCGACACUAUGUGUUGUUGGGUAGGGGAGCGUUCUGUAAGCCGUUGAAGGUGGCCUGUGAGGGUUGCUGGAGGUAUCAGAAGUGCGAAUGCUGACAUAAGUAACGAUAAUGCGGGUGAAAAACCCGCACGCCGGAAGACCAAGGGUUCCUGUCCAACGUUAAUCGGGGCAGGGUGAGUCGACCCCUAAGGCGAGGCCGAAAGGCGUAGUCGAUGGGAAACAGGUUAAUAUUCCUGUACUCGGUGUUACUGCGAAGGGGGGACGGAGAAGGCUAUGUUGGCCGGGCGACGGUUGUCCCGGUUUAAGCAUGUAGGCGGAUGUUCCAGGUAAAUCCGGAACGUUAUUAACGCUGAGGUGUGAUGACGAGGCACUACGGUGCUGAAGUGACAAAUGCCCUGCUUCCAGGAAAAGCCUCUAAGCAUCAGGUAACAUCAAAUCGUACCCCAAACCGACACAGGUGGUCAGGUAGAGAAUACCAAGGCGCUUGAGAGAACUCGGGUGAAGGAACUAGGCAAAAUGGUGCCGUAACUUCGGGAGAAGGCACGCUGAUGGUAGGUGAAGCGACUUGCUCGUGGAGCUGAAAUCAGUCGAAGAUACCAGCUGGCUGCAACUGUUUAUUAAAAACACAGCACUGUGCAAACACGAAAGUGGACGUAUACGGUGUGACGCCUGCCCGGUGCCGGAAGGUUAAUUGAUGGGGUUAUCCGUAAGGAGAAGCUCUUGAUCGAAGCCCCGGUAAACGGCGGCCGUAACUAUAACGGUCCUAAGGUAGCGAAAUUCCUUGUCGGGUAAGUUCCGACCUGCACGAAUGGCGUAAUGAUGGCCAGGCUGUCUCCACCCGAGACUCAGUGAAAUUGAACUCGCUGUGAAGAUGCAGUGUACCCGCGGCAAGACGGAAAGACCCCGUGAACCUUUACUAUAGCUUGACACUGAACACUGGUCCUUGAUGUGUAGGAUAGGUGGGAGGCUUUGAAGUGUGGACGCCAGUCUGCAUGGAGCCAUCCUUGAAAUACCACCCUUUAAUGGCUGGUGUUCUAACGUGGGCCCGUAAUCCGGGUUGCGGACAGUGUCUGGUGGGUAGUUUGACUGGGGCGGUCUCCUCCUAAAGAGUAACGGAGGAGCACGAAGGUCAGCUAAUCCUGGUCGGACAUCAGGAGGUUAGUGCAAUGGCAUAAGCUGGCUUGACUGCGAGCGUGACGGCGCGAGCAGGUGCGAAAGCAGGUCAUAGUGAUCCGGUGGUUCUGAAUGGAAGGGCCAUCGCUCAACGGAUAAAAGGUACUCCGGGGAUAACAGGCUGAUACCGCCCAAGAGUUCAUAUCGACGGCGGUGUUUGGCACCUCGAUGUCGGCUCAUCACAUCCUGGGGCUGAAGUAGGUCCCAAGGGUAUGGCUGUUCGCCAUUUAAAGUGGUACGCGAGCUGGGUUUAGAACGUCGUGAGACAGUUCGGUCCCUAUCUGCCGUGGGCGCUGGAGAAUUGAGGGGGGCUGCUCCUAGUACGAGAGGACCGGAGUGGACGCAUCACUGGUGUUCGGGUUGUCAUGCCAAUGGCAUUGCCCGGUAGCUAAAUGCGGAAGAGAUAAGUGCUGAAAGCAUCUAAGCACGAAACUUGCCCCGAGAUGAGUUCUCCCUGACUCCUUGAGAGUCCUGAAGGAACGUUGAAGACGACGACGUUGAUAGGCCGGGUGUGUAAGCGCAGCGAUGCGUUGAGCUAACCGGUACUAAUGAACCGUGAGGCUUAACCUUACAACGCCGAAG